Non-coding RNA from Aegilops tauschii subsp. strangulata, 3056 nucleotides. Lineage: Eukaryota; Viridiplantae; Streptophyta; Magnoliopsida; Poales; Poaceae. The record is from RefSeq and is a predicted model, not a curated record.
AGGCUGGUUGUAGUGGGGAGUAUCAAAUCUUUCCCUGAUAAUAAAGCAGAUAUCGCUUCUGCCCGCUCGCUCACCGUCGUGAUGAUCUUGUAAAGAAGUCCCCGUGGAUUCCGAUAAUUGAACCCGCAGUCCCUAGGUAAGUGGAUCUGGAAAAUGUUUCAGUUUUGCAAAUUUACCCCUGCAUUGUAAGAAUUUCGUCCGCGCUCCUUUGUUCGUCUUAUCCAGUAGCACGAGAAUGCACACGCGCGCCGCCGCCCUUUGCAUCCGCCACCACCGCCGUCCGCGCCGCCACCCUCUGCCUCCGCCACCACCAUCGUUCGCGCCGCCGCCCUCUGCCUCCGCUGCCUCUCCGCUGCCACCAUCGUUCGCGCAACCGCUUUUGCCUCCGCCACCACCAUCGUUCACGCUGCCGCCCUUUGCCUCCGCCACCACCGCCGUCCGCGCCGCCGCCCUCUGCCUCCGCCACCAUCAUCGUUCGUGUCGCCGCCAUUUACCUCCGCCACCACCGCAGUCCGCGCCGCCGCCCUUUGCCGCUCCAGCGUACGCACGCGUGGGAUGUUUCUCUAUUGUCGGCCAGUUGCAGGAGGUGGCCGGCUCGCCCCCAUCGUCAAAUCCCAUAGCCGGUCGAUCUCAACCGCGUGUUGCUGCUGUAGAUGUCGAGGCCGAGGCCAUCCAUUAUCGUGAGAUGGAGCAGCGGAGGACUGAGGCCCGCCGGGUGUUGGAGCAGAUUCUUCAGACAGUGGAGUUGAGUGACCCACUCAUCGAUGCCAGGGAUUCCAUCCAUCCAUCACAGAGUAUCCAUCCAGGGAUCCGAUCCAUCCAUCACAGAGCAGAUGAAUCAACAGAGUAUCCAUCUGGUCCAACAAGUGAAUUUAGGCGAUUAAUUAGCAUGAGCAUACGAGCUUCUUGUGCACAUGUAGUUUAGGUGUAUACAGGUUCAGGUAGUCAACUCUUCGUUUACCAAUCGCCCAGCUCUGAGCUAUUCCAACCUUCCACAACCACCACCACCCCUAAGCACGGGAGCAGAGCAAGGCUGCGCUGCAGCAACUUCAUCCCCUGAUACCAGGCUCGUGUUGUUGCUUUGUCUUGCCUCGGACAUCUAUUUUUCAAACGCCCGUUCAGUAAGUCAUGUUGGGAGAAACUUGGUGUUAGAUGGCCUGAUCUGGAUAACAGAUUGGAAUUGUUGCACGCAGCGAAAAGAAACUGGAUUUGACAUAUGUUCAUGGAAGUGUUUGUGGUGGCAGCAUGGAGUAUAUGGAAAGAGAGAAACAACAAGCACUUUAGGGGGAUUGCUUCAACUCUAGAUUCUUGGCUGAACAGGUUCAAGCGUUACUUCAAACUUCUGAAACAUAGAUCUAAGAGUAGCCCAGAGCCUUUAAUUUUGCAUCUCGUUACUUCUAUAUGAUUCAUAGCUAGCUGCUAGACCCUCUUUUGGUUGUACUCUGACCUCUCCUCCCCCUCCCCUGCUAACUUCUCAAUGUAAAUAUUGUACUGUAGCUUUGACGCUCUGAUCUAAUACAAAGGUCAGUGGUGGGGUUCCCCCACUAUGGAAGGUUCUCAAAAAACAGUUUUCUAGAUGAUAGUUUUAGGUCUGUUAGUAACUUGGUCUGGGUGAUGUUAUUGCCUUCAUUAAGACCAGUCGAGCCCUUGAUUUUCAUCGAAGUCGCUCUCAAAGACAUGGCCACGUUUGUACACUCUAUUAAAGUUUGGCAUGGUUUUCUUUUAAUAAAUGGGUGCUCCACUCUAUUUGUUACCUUGUGUUCUUUUGUGAUAACAUGAUUUUUUUGUUGGAUAACCCUCCAAUUGAUGAAUCUGGUGGUCUGUGCUCUUGCAGAUUACUAAUACAGUGACAAUCCUUCAGAUUCAGGGUAUACAAUGUCGGAUUACUGUCUACGGACGUAUUGAAGGCAAAAAUUCUUGCGAUGGAGGUAUAACGUGCUACCACUUUAUCAGUACAUAACAAACUUCCAUUCUUUAUAAAUAGCAACAAGCAGUUUUCAUCUCCAAGCAUAUUCAAAAGCAAAAACAAUUUUUUUUAUUGUUUAUUAAAACUGUAUGAUGAGAUAGUUCACGGUGUUGGACUAAAAUUGGAGAACACAAGUUUAUCAGAAACAAUAAGAAUUUGUCAUCAAGGAUCUAAGAGCUCUCGAAAUAUGUUGUUCUCCUCUUUUGAUUCUCCUUUCAGUACAUAAGAUUUCAGACUCUGGUUUAUAAGUAUAAGGAUGAAAGUAUCUUUAAAUACCACAAUGCACUUGUCAUUCGAUUGGAUUCAAAGUGCAAUAAUGUACAGAACAUUAACUAUUACUCCCUCCUUCCGGAAAUAAGUGGCACCGUUUUAAUUCAAAAUUGAACUAAAACAACAUCACUAGCUUAUUUCUGAUGGAGGGAGUAUAUGAUUACUUCAUCUGGUUGCUGCAUCCCCUUUAUCCAUCAAAAUAGUGUUCUACAAGGCUCAUUAUGUUGGUUGGAAAAAGGAUCACAACAGAGGCACAAUAAACUGCUGGCAUAUUAACAUCAUAUUAGUGGGAAAAAGGAUGUUGUCGCUGGAGCUAGAUCUUAAGUAGGUUGUGCCUGUUUUUUCGCCCGGUGCAACGCACGGGCAUUUGUACUACACCAAGACCAAGACCAAGCAGUCAUAUCCACGAGCAAGGCCAAUCGGGACACCCUUUCCAAGCUGUAGCACAAGCCUAUAAUGUGCAAGUAUUUCCGUAAGAUGACCAAGCCUAUCAAGAACCAGGUACUAACACCACAAAAAUUCUACUUGAAAAGUUGGAAUGCACAUGUUAUGCUUGGUUUCUAUGAUGUAACUCAUUUCUUUGUGCACCUUCUCUUAUAGGGAUUAAACCUUUUUGUGGAUUAUACUAUUAACAUUUAAUAAGUUUUUUUGUCAUUGGAGAAUCUGUUUUGGUCUUUGUUUUUAAAUGGUGACCAAAGGUAUUGCUGUAAUGAUGUGUAACAAUAAGGAUACCAAUUGAUCAAUUGGUAUCCCUGAAAUGCUUUUUUACACUUGGCAUCUGUGCUCAACCAGUUAAGAAGAUUGUUUUUGCUGUAUAAAA